Molecule: long non-coding RNA, 796 nt
Organism: Triticum aestivum (bread wheat)
Lineage: Eukaryota; Viridiplantae; Streptophyta; Magnoliopsida; Poales; Poaceae
Exons: 2
Source: RefSeq, a predicted model, not a curated record
GCGAAGGCAAGGAGGCCGUGGAUGCUCUGCGCCUGCGCCAGCGCCUGCCUGCAAACUCUGCGCUAAACCAACUGCCCGCUUGCUUUUUUGAUUCUCUCCAGAGCGAAGGAAAGGUGAGGCGAUCAACCUGCAUUUCCCCUCCCCUCCCUUCCCUCCCCUCCAUUUACUCGCCUCUCCGUCCGGUUUUAUCAUCCGCAUCAACACACGCUCCAGAAACCCCGACGCCCGCAGCCGCAGCAUCUCCCUCCCCUCUCUGGUUUCGUCGCCAUCCAACCGAACCCCCCCAGCCCGCAGCCGCAGCACUAGGCAAUCUUUUGCUAUGGGGAAAGCUAAGGGUCGAAAGGGUGGUGGCGCUGUGGGAGGACGGACAAUGAAGAAGAACGCUUUCACCGAGUCGCUCCGAAAGACCAAGUUGUUUGAAGAUGGGAGGCUUCCGAACCAGUGCCCUUGCCCAAAGGUCACCAGUGCCCACCAGGCGACAUCCAGGAGGCACCAGCUCAUGCUGCACCGGCUCAAGGCCCGUCAGUUCCACCGCAGGCGAAUGUGGCCCCUGCCCAUGGGUGAUUUUACCUUAGUGAUACACCAAUAUUAGUUAUUUGCAAGCUGCCUGGACCCUGCAUUUGGGUGAUUUAUCUUAAAUGAUACUACACUAGUACUAUUAGUUAUUUGCAAGCUCCAGCAAGACCCAUCAGCUAUCAUGAUGUAGUAUACUAGUAUGUCAGCGUUGAUAUCUACCCCCUGUUAGAAUUUGGUUGUUCUGCUAUGGCUACUUCAGUUAAUGAAAGUAGUUAAUCUA